Zalophus californianus (California sea lion) is the source of this 1232-nucleotide long non-coding RNA. RefSeq lists it as uncharacterized. The record is from RefSeq and is a predicted model, not a curated record. The transcript is spliced from 3 exons. Lineage: Eukaryota; Metazoa; Chordata; Mammalia; Carnivora; Otariidae.
UUCUGCGUAGCCUUGGAAGCAACCUGAGCUCUCCUAAUUCCGUGGGACACCCACCUGUGACAGUAGCACAAAUGAAUCACUGCGGGGAGAUCUUUCAAGCUUGGAGUGAUUUAUUCCACUCAAACCCCAAGUCAUCCCAGGAGCCUUGGCCAAUCCUGGUACAGCGAAAGUUCCAACUAAAUCAAAUGGACUACAAUGCCUGCCUGAGGCGAUUUUUCUAACCCUCUUCCAGACUGGGGGGAAACCCUGAACAGAAUAUCUCACACCACCUUCAGAACCUUCCCCUUUUCCCUUUUCUGUGCAGACAGCACGUUAAAAAGAUCUGUAAGUGACUGUUCUAGGGAUCUGUUCCACCUGCUCGGAAUACGGGAAACUACAGACGCUGCGGCUGCCUCAUCAAGGAAAUGGCUUCUGGAAUCCCAGUUCCAAAGACGAUUGUGUUCUUCACACGCCCUCUUGUGGCGACUCUGACCUAAUGCAAUCAGGGGUAAAAUGACACAAGAUAAUUAGGAAUGGAUGGACAUGGGACACUUUCAGAUCCUUUUCUCUGCCACAGCAACAAUCAAAGACUUGUUUCCUUCCCGUGAUACCCCCCAGGGACCACAAAGACCAGUAUAAUAAAACUUAAGGCCUAGCUGAUUAUUAAUAUGGUACCUCUUGCUAUUGUCCAAAUUAUCCUUUCCCUGCCGUGUUGGCAGAUUAUACACCUCGGCCCUUGCGACGCCUCCUGGUAGGGGGUAGAGCCCGCAUCUCUGCCCCACCGUUAAGUCUGCGUGUGUCAGUGGACCAGGAACUUUUCAAUAUGCCGCCACCGCCUCUGUGCCCUUGCUCUCUGCGACAAGAGCGCCAUGUCCCAGACAGGGGCUGCUCCUUCAGCCCAGAUCCAGGAAUGAGGGGACAUGGGGAGAGGAAUUACAGAUGGCCUACAACACGGAGCAGAGCGGCAGCCAACUCACAGCCUUUAUGUAAUGAGAGAGAAAUGGAUGCUUAUUUUGGAGACCACUAAAAUUCUGAAAUCAUUACACGGAAAACCUGACUGAUACAACGAGCAGUGGUGAUUAUUCUGUCAUACUGUCAUAGUAUUUGUAUACAGCGAAAGAAACAAUAAGCAACAUGAAAACGCAGCCUACAUACAGAAUGCAGUGGAAAUGUACAAAACGCCACCUACGGAACAUGCAGCCCACGGAGAAAAUGUCUCAAACCAUCUGUUAAGGGGUUAAUAUCCAAAAUAU